Hordeum vulgare subsp. vulgare (domesticated barley) is the source of this 139-nucleotide non-coding RNA. The record is from Rfam. Lineage: Eukaryota; Viridiplantae; Streptophyta; Magnoliopsida; Poales; Poaceae.
AGGGUGGACGAGGAAGAGGUGAUCUCCCACAUCCUUGCUGGGCUCGACGAGGAAUUCGAUCCGGUGGUAUCAGCCAUGUGCUCCCGGGUCGAGCCCGUGAGGGUCCCAGAGCUGUACUCACAGCUCGUGAGCUUUGAGA